Molecule: ribosomal RNA, 541 nt
Filed under: Kemalia sp. 1 BFS-2018
Lineage: Eukaryota; Metazoa; Arthropoda; Insecta; Hymenoptera; Ichneumonidae
Description: partial 16S large subunit ribosomal RNA
Source: RNAcentral
UCGCCUGUUUAUCAAAAACAUCACCUCUAGCAUCACCUCGCCUGWKKYCAAAAACAUGUCUUAAAGUAUAUAAUUUUAAGUYUAAUUUGCUCCMUGAUUAAUAAAUUAAAUAGCUGCAGUAUAUUAACUGUACAAAGGUAGCAUAAUCMAUAGUUUUUUAAUUAAAAGCUGGAAUGAAUGAUUUAAUAAGGUAAAUAUUGUCUCAAUUUUAAUAAUUUUAUAAUUUUUUUUUUAGUUAAAAAACUAAAUUAAAUUUAAAAGACGAGAAGACCCUMUAGAUUUYUAUAUUUAUUUAAUUAAAUAAAUUUAAAAUAAUUUAAAAUUUAAUUAUAUAAAUAUUUGAUUGGGGAAAUUGUUAAAUUUUUUUAAUUUUAAUUUUUAUUAAAUAUAAAUUAAUAAAUAUUUGAUCYUGAAUUUUUAAAAUAUAAGAAUAAAAUACCUUAGGGAUAACAGCGWAAUUUUUUUGAAAAGAUCAUAUUGAUAAAAAAGUUUGCGACCUCGAUGKUGAAYUAARNAUAAAAUUUUARYGAASAAAUWAAAA